RNAcentral lists this ribosomal RNA (270 nucleotides) under uncultured bacterium. RNAcentral's name for it is "partial 16S ribosomal RNA". The record is from RNAcentral.
CUGCUGCCUUCCGUAGGAGUUUGGGCCGUGUCCCAGUCCCAAUGUGGCCGGUCGCCCUCUCAGGUCGGCUACUGAUCGUCGGCUUGGUAGGCUUCUACCCCACCAACUACCUAAUCAGACGCGGGCCCAUCUUACACCACCUCAGUUUUUACCUCUGUACCAUGCGGUACUGGGGUCUUAUGCGGUAUUAGCAAUCAUUUCUAAUUGUUAUCCCCCUGUGUAAGGCAGGUUGCCCACGCGUUACUCACCCGUCCGCCGCUAAGUCACCCU